AUUGAACGCUGGCGGCAGGCCUAACACAUCCAAGUCGAGCGAGCGGCGGACGGGUGAGUAAUGUAUGGGGACUGCCCGAUAGAGGGGGAUAACUACUGGAAACGGUGGCUAAUACCGCAUACUAUCGGAUAACCCAUAUGGGAUUAGCUAGUAGGUGGGGUAAAGGCUCACCUAGGCGACGUUCGCUAGCUGCUCUGAGAGGAUGAUCAGCCGCACUGGUGCUGAGACACGGCCCAGACUCCUACGGAGGCAGCAGUGGGGAAUAUUGCACAAUGGGCGCAAGCCUGAUGCAGCCAUGACGCGUGUAUGAAUAAGGCCUUAGGGUUUUAAAGUACUUUCAGCGGUGAGGCGUUACGCGCAGAAGAAGCACCGUCGUACUCCGUAGCAGCAGCCGCAGUAAUAC
Molecule: ribosomal RNA, 403 nt
Filed under: uncultured bacterium
Lineage: Bacteria
Description: partial 16S ribosomal RNA
Rfam family: Bacterial small subunit ribosomal RNA
Source: RNAcentral